Molecule: ribosomal RNA, 514 nt
Filed under: uncultured bacterium
Lineage: Bacteria
Description: bacterial SSU rRNA
Rfam family: Bacterial small subunit ribosomal RNA
Source: RNAcentral
GAUUAUGGCUCAGAACGAACGCUGGCGGCGCGUCUUAAGCAUGCAAGUCGAACGGCAAGAGGUAGCAAUACCUCCUAGAGUGGCGGACUGGUGAGUAACACGUGGGUGACAUACCCUUCAGAUGGGGAUAGCUAUUAGAAAUAGUAGAUAAUACCGAAUACGAGCACAGGGGUUAGAGAUCUGUGAGGAAAGGAGCUAAGGCUCCGCUGAAGGAAUGGCCUGCGGCCCAUUAGCUAGUUGGUGAGGUAAGAGCCCACCAAGGCGAUGAUGGGUAUCCGGCCUUAGAGGGUGAACGGACACAUUGGGACUGAGAUACGGCCCAGACUCCUACGGGAGGCAGCAGCUAAGAAUAUUCCGCAAUGGACGAAAGUCUGACGGAGCGACGCCGCGUGGAUGAAGAAGGCCGGAAGGUUGUAAAAUCCUUUUGAAACUGAAGAAUAAGCGUUGUAGGGAAUGACAGCGUGGUGACAGUAGGUUUUGAAUAAGCAACGGCUAAUUACGUGCCAGCAGCCGC